UCUCUCUCUCUCUCUCUCUCUCUCUCUCUCUCUCUCUCUCUCUCUAUACACAUGUAAACAGACAGUAUAUGUUAGGGAAAACUGAAAAAGUAAAACCACUAACCAAGAAAAAAAAUAUCACAGAAACUUACAGUCCCGGAACAGAAAGUGAAAGAGAAGAACAUGAUGACAGGGCUGAAAAUCAGAACGAAACUGAAAGAUUGUUGUGUUCGAACAUAGAGAGGAGAGCUGUUCGGAACUAAAGAUGGAGCAGAAAACUGAUGAUGGUUGGCUUCACACAGAUGACCUGCAGCACACUGAUGUGAACAUGACAGAAGAACAUGGAGAUGAACAUCUUAUGAUUACUGG
Megalobrama amblycephala (Wuchang bream) is the source of this 348-nucleotide long non-coding RNA. RefSeq lists it as uncharacterized. The record is from RefSeq and is a predicted model, not a curated record. The transcript has 2 exons. Lineage: Eukaryota; Metazoa; Chordata; Actinopteri; Cypriniformes; Xenocyprididae.